UGGCGGAUUGACAAGAAUGAGGGCUGGGUUUUCACCAGGAUGAAGGAACAAAGGAUGGGCGGGAUUAGUGAGAUGAUCGGUGGCAACGGUGGUAGAGGCGGUAGCGGUGGUGGACGAGUCAGAGAAAGCCAUUAGAAGAACAAAAGAAAGAAGAUGAAGAAAAAGAAGGCAAACGAAGAACCCUAAUUAUUGUCUUUCUUCUGAUACCAUGUAAGUGUGUUAGAAAGAGAGAAACGAGAAUUCCAGAAAGCAGGAAAACUAUGAAUGAAUAUUACUGAUAGAAUUAUCUUUUAGUACAGCGGAAGCAAGGAAUUUAUAUAAAAGGAGAAAAGAAGAAACAACAAAAAAACUAAAAAAAUCACUAGGACCGAACGGGUUGUUCGGUGGUCACUCUGACAGCAGCUAUACGGUAAGUAUCAGCUUUCGGCAACUCAAUAACAAAGGAACCGUCCGGCAACAACAGAGAAAAUAUCUCUAUUAAGGAACCGUCCGGUAACAACAAAGAAAAUAUCUCUAUUAAGAAACCGUCCGGUAACAACAGAGAAAAAAUCUCUAUCACAACAACAACAAUGUAGGGAUCACCAUUCGGUGACAACACCGUUUGGUUAAAAUCAGAG
This 617-nucleotide long non-coding RNA is filed under the name Vigna radiata. RNAcentral's name for it is "long non-coding RNA (VRAD_LNC007064)". The record is from RNAcentral. Lineage: Eukaryota; Viridiplantae; Streptophyta; Magnoliopsida; Fabales; Fabaceae.